RNAcentral lists this ribosomal RNA (447 nucleotides) under uncultured bacterium. RNAcentral describes it as "bacterial SSU rRNA". It matches the Rfam family "Bacterial small subunit ribosomal RNA", at positions 330 to 793 of the family's 1533-position model. The record is from RNAcentral.
CCCAGACUCCUACGGGAGGCAGCAGUGGGGGAUAUUGCACAAUGGGGGGAACCCUGAUGCAGCGACGCCGCGUGGGUGAAGGAGCGUUUCGGCGCGUAAAGCCCUAUCGGCAGGGAAGAAGGAGGACGGUACCUGACUAAGAAGCCCCGGCUAACUACGUGCCAGCAGCCGCGGUAAUAUGUAGGGGGCAAGCGUUAUCCGGAUUUACUGGGUGUAAAGGGGGCGCAGACGGCAGCGCAAGCCAGGAGUGAAAGCCCGGGGCGCAACCCCGGGACUGCUCUUGGAACUGCGCGGCUGGAGUGCAGGAGGGGCAGGCGGAAUUCCUGGUGUAGCGGUGAAAUGCGUAGAUAUCAGGAGGAACACCGGUGGCGAAGGCGGCCUGCUGGACUGCGACUGACGUUGAGGCCCGAAAGCGUGGGGAGCAAACAGGAUUAGAUACCCUGGUAC